GACGAACGCUGGCGGCGUGCCUAAUACAUGCAAGUCGAACGCAGUGGGGACGGGUGAGUAACACGUGGGUAACCUCCCCUCAGAGGGGAUAACACUUGGAAACAGGUGCUAAACCGAUACUGAUGGAUGGACCCGCGGUGCAUUAGCUAGUUGGUGAGGAAACGGCUCACCAAGGCCAGGAUGAAUAGCCGACCUGGGGGGGUGAUCGGCCAAACUGGGAUGGAGAAACGGCCCAGACUCCUAGGGAGGGCAGCAGUAGGAAAUCUUCGGCAAGGGACGAAAGUCUGACCGGGCAACGCCGGGUGAGGGAAGAAGGUUUUCGGAUCGUAAAACUCUGUUGUUAGAGAAGCGGUAUCUAACCAGAAAGCCACGGCUAACUACGUGCCAGCAGCCGCGGUAAUUC
This 403-nucleotide ribosomal RNA is filed under the name uncultured bacterium. RNAcentral describes it as "partial 16S ribosomal RNA". It matches the Rfam family "Bacterial small subunit ribosomal RNA", at positions 28 to 526 of the family's 1533-position model. The record is from RNAcentral.